UAUUAUUUAAAAUGUAAAUAUUAAUACUUAAGUAGUAAUAGUUAUGUUCUUGAAACUUAAAAAAUUUGGCGGUAUUUUAGUCUAUCCAGAGGAACCUGUUUUGUAAUCGAUAAUCCACGAUGGACCUUACUUAAGUUUGUAACCAGUUUAUAUACCGUCGUUAUCAGAAUAUUUUAUAAGAAUAAUAAUAUUCAAUAAUUUUAAAAAGAAUUUAUAUCAGAUCAAGGUGUAGCUUAUAUUUAAGUAAUAAUGGGUUACAAUAAAUUUAUUUAAACGGAUAAAAUUAUGAAAAAAUUUUUGAAGGUGGAUUUGGUUGUAAAAUUAUAAAGAUUAAUAAUUUGAUUUUAGCUCUAAAAUAUGUACACAUCGCCCGUCGCUCUUAUUAUUAAGGUAAGAUAAGUCGUAACAUAGUAGAUGUACUGGAAAGUGUAUCUAGAAUGA
RNAcentral lists this ribosomal RNA (441 nucleotides) under Drosophila starmeri. RNAcentral describes it as "partial 12S ribosomal RNA". Lineage: Eukaryota; Metazoa; Arthropoda; Insecta; Diptera; Drosophilidae. The record is from RNAcentral.